Molecule: long non-coding RNA, 353 nt
Filed under: Physeter macrocephalus (sperm whale)
Lineage: Eukaryota; Metazoa; Chordata; Mammalia; Artiodactyla; Physeteridae
Description: Physeter catodon (sperm whale) lncRNA (ENSPCTG00005007832.1)
Source: RNAcentral
ACGAAGCAGAUUCUAAAUUAUUGCAUAUCAACACUCAUUCCACCUGUUGUACGUGAGGAGAAAAGGUCAGUUCUGCAGAAAGCAGCUGGAAAACAAGGGCGUCUGAAGGGAGCAGGGGCUGCUCCAUCCGGCAGCUGACACAGCCAGACCCGUGCACCGGGCUCCAGUCACCAGCGCAGAUGUGUCAGUUAAAUUUAUAUGUAAGCUCGUUGAGGAAAACAACUGCCAAACAACGCAAACUAGAGACAGCAUCCACUACAGGCCGCACGCCGAGGUGGUGAGCUUUGGGCGCCCAAGCCCUCGCCAACCCCUGCACCUCUGAACCAUCCACCCGGGGCUCCAGCUGUCCUGGG